This 292-nucleotide ribosomal RNA is filed under the name uncultured bacterium. Its description in RNAcentral is "partial 16S ribosomal RNA". It matches the Rfam family "Bacterial small subunit ribosomal RNA", at positions 505 to 796 of the family's 1533-position model. The record is from RNAcentral.
GUGUCAGCCGCCGCGGUAAUACGAAGGUGGCGAGCGUUGUUCGGAAUCACUGGGCUUAAAGAGCAUGUAGGCGGCUCAUCAAGCGUCUUGUGAAAUCCCUCGGCUCAACCGAGGAAUGGCUGGGCGAACUGAUGGGCUUGAGGCAGGUAGGGGCGCGCGGAACUCUUGGUGGAGCGGUGGAAUGCGUAGAUAUCAAGAGGAACGCCGGUGGCGAAGGCGGCGCGCUGGGCUUGUCCUGACGCUGAGAUGCGAAAGCCAGGGGAGCAAACGGGAUUAGAUACCCUUGUAGUCC